GGCGAGAUGGCCGAGCGGUCUAAGGCGCCAGACUAAGGAGACCAACACCUUUGAGGUGUUAUAAAUCUGGUCCGAAAGGGCGUGGGUUCGAAUCCCACUCUCGUCA
Molecule: transfer RNA, 106 nt
Organism: Moniliophthora perniciosa FA553
Lineage: Eukaryota; Fungi; Basidiomycota; Agaricomycetes; Agaricales; Marasmiaceae
Rfam family: tRNA
About the family: Transfer RNA (tRNA) molecules are approximately 80 nucleotides in length. Their secondary structure includes four short double-helical elements and three loops (D, anti-codon, and T loops).
Source: Rfam